CCAGUAAAAUAACUCCGACGUCGUCUUGAUCCAAAUUCUUCAGCUUAGAAUCUCCCUAAUUAAACCCUAAAUCCACCUGGGCUACAUCUUCAGUCACCAACUCACAACAACAUAGAAUGCUACAAUAAUCAACGGAUUUUUUUAACAUAAUAAUUCAAUACACAGUUGAUUAAAUAUGUCGACGGUGUAUGUGUUGGAACCGCCGACGAAGGGGAAGGUGAUACUGACAACGUCGUUCGGUCCACUGGACAUCGAGCUGUGGCCGAAGGAGGCGCCCAAGGCUGUCCGCAACUUCGUGCAGCUGUGCCUCGAAGGCUAUUAUGAUAAUACUGUUUUCCAUCGCGUCAUUAAGUCGUUUCUAGUACAAGGAGGUGAUCCCACCGGCACUGGAGAAGGUGGUGAGAGUAUAUACGGCAGUGCUUUUCCUGAUGAGUUUCAUUCUCGUCUAAGAUUUAAGCACAGGGGUUUGGUUGCAUGUGCUGGUGCUGGAGCAGCUAAUUCAAAUGGCAGCCAGUUCUUUAUAACCUUGGAUCGUUGUGACUGGCUUGACAAGAAGCAUACAAUAUUUGGAAAAGUAACUGGAGAUUCAAUAUUUAACCUCUUACAGUUAGGUGAAGUUGAGACAGAUAAAGAUGAUAGGCCACUGGACCCGCUUCCUAAAAUACUUUCAGUUGAGGUGUUAUGGAAUCCAUUUGAUGACAUUGUCCCAAGGAUAAUCGCUGCGAAGUCUUUACCAUCGUCUGAAAAGAAAGAAAUAAAGCAGAAGGUUACCAAAAAGUUGAACUUGCUUUCAUUUGGAGAAGAAGCUGAAGAAGAGGAGAAGGAACUUGUGGCUUCCAAUACUAGAAUAAAAAGUAGUCAUGAUGUUUUGAACGAUCCCCGCCUCCUGAAGGAAGGCCCUGAAACUGAUUUGAACUCAGCUGAAGGUCGAAAGGCAAAGGACGCACAAUUUAUUGUGAGAGAAGCUCUAAGCUCAAAGAGAGAGCAACAGAAAGAAUUAGGUGACACAUAUUCUGGAUCUUUAGAGUAUAGUGAUGAAGAUGAGGCUAGCUUUGAUGCACGAAUGCGCCAGCAGAUACUAAGAAGAAGGCAGGAGCUUGGAGACCUACCAACUAAGAAAGAGUUGCCUUAUGAGCUUGUAGGUUCAGGGAAACGUACAGCAUCUCCACCAAGGUCCAGUGUCGACAAACAUGAUGAAAGGCCAAAAGUGGAUAGAUUGUCGCUGAAGAAAAAAGGAAUAGGUUCAGAAGCUAGGGCUGAACGCAUGGCUAAUGCAGAUGCAGAUUUACAGUUGCUUGGAGAAGCAGAACGGGAAAGACAGCUGCAGAAGCAGAAGAAACGUAGGCGUCAAGGACAUGAAGAUGAGAUUCUAGCAAAGCUUGAGAAAUUUAAGUCGACCUUCUCAACGAAAUCCGAAGGAUCAAAUGGUGAACAUGGUGGUCGCAAGGAUGAUGAUUUGUCAGAUUGGAUGGGAGUGACGCUAAAGUUUGCUCCUGAGCCUGGAAAGAAUCAUAUGUCACGCAGUGACGACCCGAAUGACUAUGUAGUGCAUGACCCUCUUUUGGAGAAAGGAAAAGAAAAAUUCAACAAAAUGCAGGCUAAGGAAAAGCGAAGACAACGAGAAUGGGCUGGGAAAUCUCUUACUUGAACCUGUUUCUGCUCCUUUAAAUAUGACGUCGGGGGUAUCACUGUAGCUUUGAGACACUGACCAUACCUUGACAACAAGAUCAAAAAUGAUUCUAUUGAGAGUCCAGGUUUUCGUAGAUACCACAGCCCAAUGGAACAUUCUUGGUCGAUCAACAGGAGAUAGAUCUGGUUGUCAUGUGGAAAACAUCGUCCACCCAUUUUCACAUCCCCCUCACAUAAUCAAGUAUCCAUCACAUGCUGGGAAUUAAAGAAAAGCCCCAAUCUGGAUCUUGAACUUGCCAGAAAUGCACAUGGUUUCAUUUGACUAUUUGAUGUCUGCCAUAUGUGUAUCUCUUCGAUUUUCCCUAUGUUGGAAAAUUUGCUACACUACUGCUCAUAGCUGUUACCGCGUAUGAGCAGAGCAGGCCCUUAAUACAGCCUUUUUCUGGAAAGCACAUAAUAAUAUAUUACCACCUUGAAUCACUUUAAUUGGCUACUCCAACUUAUUUAUUUGUGAAGCACAUAUUCUACUAUUUAAGGUAUUUAAGGAAUUGGUCAAUGAGAACGUCAGAAAAGUGGCGUUUGGACCAGAAGAGUCUUUGUUGUCAGCUAUUUUGCAGCAAAAACAAGAAUGAGAAGAUAAAUUGAAGUUUUUAGUUCAAUUUCAAUUCAAAAAGUUCUAGUAUAGCACAAGGGGCAGGCAAAUUGUCGCAGCAAUACCAUAGACGGGCAUUAAGGUCUUUGUUUAGGGUACCUUUCCAAUUGCCCAUGGUAACUUAAUCUGACGGCACAUGAUUUAAGAUGUUGUCAAAAGUCUGUUUUUUCUUUUAGAAAAGGACUUGGGGAAUUUUAGCAGAGGGUUCUAUUGGAUUCCACUU
RNA transcript from Sesamum indicum (sesame), 2504 nucleotides. It is a transcript of the gene named Cyclophilin-like peptidyl-prolyl cis-trans isomerase family protein, with no coding region annotated. Lineage: Eukaryota; Viridiplantae; Streptophyta; Magnoliopsida; Lamiales; Pedaliaceae. The record is from RefSeq and is a predicted model, not a curated record.